Chrysochloris asiatica (Cape golden mole) is the source of this 419-nucleotide RNA transcript. It is a transcript of the gene named DNA-binding protein inhibitor ID-2-like, with no coding region annotated. The record is from RefSeq and is a predicted model, not a curated record. Lineage: Eukaryota; Metazoa; Chordata; Mammalia; Afrosoricida; Chrysochloridae. The transcript has a single exon.
UCCACCCACAUUCAACAUGAAAGAGUUCAGUCCAGUGAGGUCUGUUAGGAAAAACAGCCUUUCGAACCACAACCCAGGUAUUUCCCGGAGCAAGACCCCGGUGGACGACCCAAUGAGUCUGCUGUACAAUAUGAACAACUGUUACUCCAAGCUCAAGGAGCUGGUGCUCAGCAUCCCCCAAAACAAGAAGGUGAGCAAGAUGGAAAUCCUGCAGCACGUCAUUGACUACAUCUUGGACCUGCAGAUUGCCCUGGAUUCGCACCCCACUAGUGUCAGCCUUCACCACCAGAGGCCCAAGCAAAACCCGUCCUCCAGGACACCACUGACCACCCUCAGCAGACAUUAGUAUUCUGUCCUUACAGACUUCAGAAUUCCCGUCCGAGUUAAUGUCAAAUGACAGCAAAGCACUCUGUGGUUAA